GACAGGGUAGCCUAACGGCUACGGCGUCACGCCGCUCGCCGCCGUGACGAGGCGAGUUCGACUCUCGUCCCUGUCA
This is a non-coding RNA of Pleurotus ostreatoroseus, 76 nucleotides long. The record is from the annotation of a GenBank genome assembly. NCBI's taxonomy places the organism in Eukaryota, Fungi, Basidiomycota, Agaricomycetes, Agaricales, Pleurotaceae.